Molecule: non-coding RNA, 66 nt
Organism: Xyrichtys novacula (pearly razorfish)
Lineage: Eukaryota; Metazoa; Chordata; Actinopteri; Labriformes; Labridae
Source: the annotation of a GenBank genome assembly
CCCCUCAGACAAUGGUCAGUGUAAGAGAUGAUGAAUGUGCUCUUACACUGACCAUUGUCUGAGGGG